AAAGGCGGGGGACCGUAAGGCCUCGCGCGAUUGGAGCGGCCGAUGGCAGAUUAGGUAGUUGGUGGGGUAAAAGGCUCACCAAGCCUGCGAUCUGUAGCUGGUCUGAGAGGACGACCAGCCACACUGGAACUGAGACACGGUCCAGACUCCUACGGGAGGCAGCAGUGGGGAAUUUUGGACAAUGGGCGCAAGCCUGAUCCAGCCAUUCCGCGUGCAGGAUGAAGGCCUUCGGGUUGUAAACUGCUUUUGUACGGAACGAAAAGGUUUCCUUAAUACGGAGAGCUCAUGACGGUACCGUAAGAAUAAGCACCGGCUAACUACGUG
RNAcentral lists this ribosomal RNA (324 nucleotides) under uncultured bacterium. Its description in RNAcentral is "bacterial SSU rRNA". It matches the Rfam family "Bacterial small subunit ribosomal RNA", at positions 202 to 507 of the family's 1533-position model. The record is from RNAcentral.